Delphinapterus leucas (beluga whale) is the source of this 811-nucleotide non-coding RNA. The record is from RefSeq and is a predicted model, not a curated record. Lineage: Eukaryota; Metazoa; Chordata; Mammalia; Artiodactyla; Monodontidae.
UUGCCCCUGUACUGGGCUCCUUUUUCAUGAUGAAACCGUCCCUGAAAGUGUUCAACUCCCUUCAAGGACUGAUGAUGCAAAGCCAAUGACCUCUUUAACGCUUCAUCCUUGCACCCUGACUUCUGCUCAGCAGUCUGAAGCAGCCCAGAGGACCUGAACCAGACGACUCGUUGAGGAAACCAGACAGUAGGCACUUUGGAGGCAGCAACCUAUCCUUUUAGCUUUGUAUUCCUUGCACAUGUGUCCCACGAAUGAAUGAUCAUAAUCACAGAAGACGGAAACUCAAGAAAUCUUCCAUAUAGCCCCUGCCCUUGGGGUCAAUGAGUGGGAUGUGCCAAAAACAGGACCUCGUAUGUCAGAUCCAGUGACUGGCCCAAGAGAUGGAUGUGUGACCGAGUUCAUCCAUCAGUGUCCAUCUCCGGAAAAGUUCAAAGUGGCCCAGAGAGAGAUCCCGUUCUUCUUCAGUCCCAUAGCUAGAAGAACCAGGUACGGUGGUGAUCCUCAAGCAUGGAAGUGCUUCUCACAGUAGAAGAGAAUAAAGGCUGUCUUCAAAGAGAGGAUACGGAUGAAGAAUGACAGCCGAGACCUUGACUCAGUUGUCCCUACCUGGCUCUAUGGCUGUCCUUCCUAAAGAUAGGUUAGUAAUCAAAUAUUGAAUUUUACAAAUAAAUUCCCCUUUUUUACUUUUUAGGUGAAUCAAGUUGGGUUUUUGUCAUUUACAAAAUCCCAACUUAAAUCUUUGCUUUUCACUCCGUGCUCCUCCUUCUCCUGAACACAUAGGAAAGCAUUUAACCAGUUGCCAAAUCAUGUG